This is a long non-coding RNA of Oreochromis niloticus (Nile tilapia), 424 nucleotides long. RefSeq lists it as uncharacterized. The record is from RefSeq and is a predicted model, not a curated record. The transcript has 4 exons. NCBI's taxonomy places the organism in Eukaryota, Metazoa, Chordata, Actinopteri, Cichliformes, Cichlidae.
UGAAGGAGGGCAUCGGUUUGUGUGCAUUCCAGAUUCUCCUUAUCAGUGUUCAUGGAUAAAGGUGUGACCAGACUUUCUUCCUGCCUACUAGCUCCAUUUGCAGAUUUUCAUGGUUAAACUGGCCAAACAAUCAUUGCAAGCACCUAAACUGAGUUGUGUAUUUAGGAAGCUGUUAUCUCUGAAGUGGAGUACAAGGUCUCCUGUUCUAGUUGAACUCUGCUGUCGCCCCCUUCUCUGUUCUGACCCACUUGUCAACCAAUCAACGUUCAGUGGAAGCCGAUGUCUUCAACUUCCAGUGACGCACAGUCAGGAUCUUAAGGACUAUCCAGUCCUGUGCGUGGGAAUCCCCUCCACAUCCGAACGGAAGCUUGUACACAGAAGGACACAUUUGAAGAACCGUAACUUAAGAGGGCUGACAAAUGAA